GCUGGGUGUGGUGGUGCACGCCUGUAAUCCCAGCUACUUGGGAGGCUGAGGCACAAGGAUUGCUUGAGCCUGGGAGGCAGAGGCUGCAGUGAGCCGAGAUCACGCCACUGCACUCUAGCCUGGGUGACAGGGUGAGACUCUGCCUCAA
This 148-nucleotide non-coding RNA is filed under the name Homo sapiens (human). The record is from Rfam by way of RNAcentral. Lineage: Eukaryota; Metazoa; Chordata; Mammalia; Primates; Hominidae.